AAUAAAGAUUUAUCGGUAAAAGAUGGGCAUGCGUAUCAUUAGCUAGUUGGUGUGGUAACGGCAUACCAAGGCUACGAUGAUUAGGGGUCCUGAGAGGGAGAUCCCCCACACUGGUACUGAGACACGGACCAGACUCCUACGGGAGGCAGCAGUGAGGAAUAUUGGUCAAUGGAGGCAACUCUGAACCAGCCAUGCCGCGUGCAGGAUGACGGUCCUAUGGAUUGUAAACUGCUUUUGUACGGGAAGAAAUGUAAUUACGUGUAAUUAUUUGACGGUACCGUAAGAAUAAGGAUCGGCUAACUCCGUGCCAGCAGCCGCGGUAAUACGGAGGAUCCGAGCGUUAUCCGGAAUUAUUGGGUUUAAAGGGUUCGUAGGCGGUUUAGUAAGUCAGUGGUGAAAUCUUGCAGCUUAACUGUAAAAUUGCCGUUGAUACUGCUAAACUUGAAUAGUAUGGAAGUAAUUAGAAUAUGUAGUGUAGCGGUGAAAUGCUUAGAUAUUACAUGGAAUACCAAUUGCGAAGGCAGAUUACUACGUACUUAUUGACGCUGAUGAACGAAAGCGUGGGUAGCGAACAGGAUUAGAUACCCUGGUAGUCCACGCCGUAAACGAUGGAUACUAGCUGUUCGGUCUUCGGAUUGAGUGGCUAAGCGAAAGUGAUAAGUAUCCCACCUGGGGAGUACGUUCGCAAGAAUGAAACUCAAAGGAAUUGACGGGGGCCCGCACAAGCGGUGGAGCAUGUGGUUUAAUUCGAUGAUACGCGAGGAACCUUACCAAGGCUUAAAUGUAGAUUGACAGGUUUAGAGAUAGACUUUCCUUCGGGCAAUUUACAAGGUGCUGCAUGGUUGUCGUCAGCUCGUGCCGUGAGGUGUCAGGUUAAGUCCUAUAACGAGCGCAACCCCUAUUGUUAGUUGCCAGCGGGUGAUGCCGGGAACUCUAACAAGACUGCCGGUGCAAACCGUGAGGAAGGUGGGGAUGACGUCAAAUCAUCACGGCCCUUACGUCUUGGGCUACACACGUGCUACAAUGGCCAGUACAGAAAGCAGCUACCAGGCAACUGGAUGCGAAUCUCAAAAGCUGGUCUCAGUUCGGAUUGGAGUCUGCAACUCGACUCUAUGAAGCUGGAAUCGCUAGUAAUCGGAUAUCAGCCAUGAUCCGGUGAAUACGUUCCCGGGCCUUGUACACACCGCCCGUCAAGCCAUGGAAGCUGGGGGUACCUGAAGUC
Molecule: ribosomal RNA, 1222 nt
Filed under: bacterium
Lineage: Bacteria
Description: bacterial SSU rRNA
Rfam family: Bacterial small subunit ribosomal RNA
Source: RNAcentral